This 211-nucleotide ribosomal RNA is filed under the name Vibrio parahaemolyticus. RNAcentral describes it as "partial 23S ribosomal RNA". It matches the Rfam family "Bacterial large subunit ribosomal RNA", at positions 1466 to 1672 of the family's 2925-position model. The record is from RNAcentral. Lineage: Bacteria; Pseudomonadati; Pseudomonadota; Gammaproteobacteria; Vibrionales; Vibrionaceae.
GGGGGGACGGAGAAGGCUAGGUGGGCCUGGCGACGGUUGUCCAGGUUCAAGUGCGUAGGCUUAAGAGUUAGGUAAACCGGCUCUUUUUUAAGGCUGAGACACGACGUCGAGCACCUACGGGUGUGAAGUCAUUGAUGCCAUGCUUCCAGGAAAAGCCUCUAAGCUUCAGAUUGUAAGGAAUCGUACCCCAAACCGACACAGGUGGUCGGGU